Molecule: RNA transcript, 3601 nt
Organism: Pseudopipra pipra
Lineage: Eukaryota; Metazoa; Chordata; Aves; Passeriformes; Pipridae
Gene: SMCO4
Gene name: single-pass membrane protein with coiled-coil domains 4
Exons: 2
Source: RefSeq, a predicted model, not a curated record
UCUGUCCAGUGUGGUAAUCAGUGAUGUCUAACUGGUGGCUUAUCUGGUAAUGGUGCUGUCGCCUUUUAUAGAGGCGCCUUCCCUUGCAGUUCCGCCAGGCAUGGGUAUUCAUUUCAGCCACGUACAACACUGAGUGUCGAAGUGAGACCCUGUAAUAAAUUUUAAAAUCCUCUUCAGAGCUGAAGCCGGCACCGUCUUGUUCUGUUGUGUCGCCCUUCGUUUCAGCAGGUUUCCUUGUGAGAUCUCUCUAAGUGCUGUGUUUGCGGCAGCAGGCAAGAGGAGGGAGAGUGGGCUUUCUGUGGAAGCAGCACGGAAAAGUGCAGCAUUAGGUUCAAGUUUCAGCGUAAUGUCAAGUACUAGUCAGUGGGCUUGCUCCAGUGGUAAUUUUCUGCAGGUAAAAGAAAAAGAAACAUAUAGUUUUGGGAAGUAAAUAUCAAAAAUACUUCAGAAGUAGCUUUAGUUAAUGUAAUAGCCUGUAAAGUCUAAAUCAUUUUCCUGUUAAAAUGGAGAAUGUGAGGAAGAGCAAUUCUAAUGUCAGUAGUCCUUUAUGUAUUUAUGUCCAUAAAAUACAGACCUGGUGUCCUUUCCAUAUCCAUAGAAGUUCAUGCCCAUGGAGAGACCUGGCUGAAACCUGUGGAGCACUGCAAUAGCAAUUGAGACAAGUUGCCAAAUGGGAACUGAACUUUUAAUCAGCUCUUGCCAUAUGAACAUAGUCCUCUGUCUUUUGAAGGUGUCAUCUGUUGGUAGUUGCUUCCCAUCAGUGUUUGUUCAUCUUCCUUCUUUCCUUUCACUCAAAGAGGGGGAAUUUUGAAUGCAGCUGUUAUGAUGGUUGGAGUUUUUUUUAAUUGUUAUAUGCUUUUUGCUUGUGGGUUCCAGCAAGUUAGUUAGCAUUAGCCAUGCUUUGUACCUUAUUUUGUAUUUCAUUCUAAACUUGCUAUUGUGAAAGAUAUUAAUACUGUGUCAUUUCUGUCUAGAGGUUUAUGAAAAACUCUGACCUGUUGUUAGUAUCCCCAGUUGAUUGAAACUUCAGUGUACCCUCAAGGAAAGUGAGAUGAUACAUAUGGUACAGCACAGUAGAUAAAAGGUUAUGUUUCUCUCUUCCCUUUUUCAAAAAUCUGCUUUCUGGUUGUAAUUCUGGUUUCAAGUCUUGGAUAAUUUGUGAAAAGAAAUCUCACUGUUGGACAGAGGGGUAAGCAAUGGCUGAUUGCCUAUAUCAUAGGGUGAAUAAGCAGAUAUGAUACCUCUAGCCCUUUGUAGGAAGAAGAUGGUUCUGACAAUCCUUUUGGAGGUGCUGUGUAUUGUCCUCUCCUCGAAAUGCACAGAAUGUGCUUGUUGAUUCCCACAGGUUUUGGAGAGCCCAUGCUAUGGAAUAUGGGUUCAUUACACUUGGCGUUAUUUAGAAUAUUCAGGUUUUGGACUGUUUAGUAAGAGGCUCCAUGAAACCACUGUCUUGUUUUCUGUCCAGAUAUUUGGUUUAUUUGCCUCUCUGUGUUGAUCGUCUAUCCCUCUUCUUAGUCUCCCUUCUUCCUCCCAGUUCAAAUUAAUGGCGGUUUUUGAGGAAAUGAACAUUUUCCUUUUCCUUUACACUUGCACCAGAACAUCAAAGGACAGAAUGCCACUUCUUCACUCUUAGGAGUGAAGUGUUAUUUUAUAGUACCCUCAGAUUAAAUAUUGGGGUUGCUAAUCUACUUCUUGCACCGUUGUUCUUGUACUGAGGAACAGCCUGUUUGGAGCAGUGUUUGCAAAACCAUUUCAGUACAUCUCACUAUUACCAACUCAGUACUGCAACCUUAUAUAAGCCAGUCUCCAUCCACUUAACUCCAGAACAACUGCGGUGAUUAAUAUUUAUAUAAAAGCUUUCAUGUUUCCACUGCGAAAUUGUCUUACUUUGAAAAGAAAAGGUGGCUUUUUCCCUGUUGACUUCGUGUGAAAAAGCUUGCAAAGGCUUUCAGCAGCACUGCAGCUGAGGCAGGCAUCAGCAGAAGAACUAGGGUCAUCUUUAAUUCGGUAUUUCACUUUGUGAAAUUGCCUAUUCCAAGAGAAAUAAAACAUUUACAUGUAUAUUAACCAGUGUUUGCCAGCUCUUGGAAAAAAGCCAGUUCUCUCAGGGCCAAACAAAUGCUCUGAGUGAAUGAGUAAUAAUCUGCUAUUGUCACUCCUAAUUUAUGGAUGAGUAGAUAGAGUAAUGUUUGCCAUUUUAAGUUGUCCUAUUCGCAUGAAAGACUAGAAAUCACGACUAGCUAUCAGCUUGGAUUAUCGAUAGCAUGUCUGUUUAUAGCUGAUUUACUCAGUAUAGCUGUUGCAAAAGUUCAAAACCUCCCCACAUGAUAAAAAGUAAUUGUGGAAGCCGAUGAGAAUACAUGAAGGUUGCAGAGGUUUUGGGACACUAAUUUGGAAGCUACAGCCAGAGGCUGAAAGAUACAUGGCAUAUCCUCUUUAUAAAUGACAUGUCAGGUCUCUCUGUGCCUCGUUUAUUUUCUGAGGAAAUUUGUAUCGUCAUCUCGCUUGUAAUAGAAAAUUAAAAAUCUAUGGAUUCUCAAGAUAAUGGCUGUAUUGAGCUUUUGUUGUUGAUAGAUAAGUAAGAGGGGGGGCAUAAUCCUGAGUACCUUACAAUGACAUUUUUCUGUGUCUCUGAGCCUUUCCAUUUGCUUAAUCUUCCAACAAGUGCAAUUAAAAACAGUUUUGAAAACUUUGUUUUACACAUUUAUGAGCAUUCUUUUGUCAUGAAGUUAACAGCCAUCUUGGCACAAUUGGGGUGAAUAAAAAUAGCAAUGAGAAAAAUGGGUGUUUUUAAAGGGAACACUUAAAAUCCUACCCUAUGAAACCUGUCUUAAAUACUGCAGAGAGGCACACAGCCCCUCUGGAGUAGGAGUUUAAGGGAAUGAGAGUCAGUCUUGAGAUUAAAUUGUCCACAGAGUGUCCUGUGAAGUCUUCCAUGAGAUCUCCUGACUGGCUGUGGAGGAGUGUGCUAUAUCACACCUAAAUACGUAUGUAGGAGAUGGGUGAGAAGUAGAAACCUCAGCUGUCAGCCACUAAACAAAGAAACACAGUAAAGAGGUGAGGCUGAUCAUUGAUGUCUGUCUUCUCUGAUGGAUGGACUCUUCCACUUCUUUCAGUCUUUAUUUCACUUCCAUACAGCUUUUCUCCCAUGCACUGGUUUGUCUUUCUUUUCAUUUUCCUGCUUGCACGCUGAGGGGGCUUUCCUGUGCUUUCGGUCUGGACUUCAUUGUCUUGCUCACCUACUUACACUGCAUCAUAACUUUCUUUUUUCCUCCCCCCCACCUUCAUUAAACUUCCUAUCUGUCAUCUUGUUAAAUGAAAUAACAGCAAGAGCAGUUGGUGUUGAUGUUGUAGGUACCAGGAUGUCCACAGCCCAGAGUGCAGCCAUUAAUACUCUGUCUGUAAGCUGUGGAAGGCUGACUCUGAAGAGAUGCCUAAGGACAUGAUUCCUCAGCCCCUCUGAAAGUUUCUUGCACAGCCAACCACUUGAAGGAGAAGGAAUUCUUCAACCCCUUGUUUCAAAAGACCUUGGGCUAUUUUCUGCUGUUCCACUCCCUUUGCUCCCACAUUCGGCAAACAAAAGAUCCGAAGAGGAGGAUGA